CUGCUCGCUUUGCAGGCAGCACAUAUUCUAAAACUGGAACAAUACAGAGAAGAUUAGCAUGGCCCCUAUGCAAGGAUGACAUGCAAAUGCGUGAAGUGUUGCAUAUUUUC
Cynocephalus volans (Philippine flying lemur) is the source of this 110-nucleotide small nuclear RNA. Lineage: Eukaryota; Metazoa; Chordata; Mammalia; Dermoptera; Cynocephalidae. The record is from RefSeq and is a predicted model, not a curated record.